RNAcentral lists this ribosomal RNA (253 nucleotides) under uncultured bacterium. Its description in RNAcentral is "partial 16S ribosomal RNA". It matches the Rfam family "Bacterial small subunit ribosomal RNA", at positions 524 to 776 of the family's 1533-position model. The record is from RNAcentral.
UACGUAGGGUGCAAGCGUUGUCCGGAAUUAUUGGGCGUAAAGAGCUCGUAGGCGGUUUGUCGCGUCUGCUGUGAAAACGCGAGGCUCAACCUCGCGCCUGCAGUGGGUACGGGCAGACUAGAGUGCGGUAGGGGAGAUUGGAAUUCCUGGUGUAGCGGUGGAAUGCGCAGAUAUCAGGAGGAACACCGAUGGCGAAGGCAGAUCUCUGGGCCGUAACUGACGCUGAGGAGCGAAAGCGUGGGGAGCAAACAGG